UAGGGUCGAAGUUUAAUAUUUAAGUCAAAAUCCAAUUUUAACGAAAAUAUAAAAUGUCGUCAAUUUUAAAUAAAAUUUUAAUUUGGGCCAAAAUUAAAAUUAUAGAAUAAAUCCAUUUGAAAUUCAAAUCUAAAUCCAUUUUUAAUAUCUAAAUUCAAAACAACUUUUGAAAACAUCAAUUUGACCCAAACUUAAAAUUAACAGGAGGGCCACCGAAAUUUGAAAAUUGCUCAGCAGCCCUCAGUUAUAAAAUUGCAAAAUGACCCCUAAUAUCAUAUUUGCAGGCGGGCCCCCACAAUUACAUUAAUUGCAGAG
This 315-nucleotide long non-coding RNA is filed under the name Olea europaea (common olive). RNAcentral describes it as "long non-coding RNA (OEUR_LNC003388)". The record is from RNAcentral. Lineage: Eukaryota; Viridiplantae; Streptophyta; Magnoliopsida; Lamiales; Oleaceae.